RNAcentral lists this ribosomal RNA (253 nucleotides) under uncultured bacterium. Its description in RNAcentral is "partial 16S ribosomal RNA". It matches the Rfam family "Bacterial small subunit ribosomal RNA", at positions 524 to 776 of the family's 1533-position model. The record is from RNAcentral.
UACGGAGGGUGCGAGCGUUGUCCGGAAUCACUGGGCGUAAAGGGCGCGUAGGCGGCCAUAUAAGUCGGGGGUGAAAGCCUGUGGCUCAACCACAGAAUUGCCUUCGAUACUGUAUGGCUCGAGACCGGAAGAGGUAAGUGGAACUGCGAGUGUAGAGGUGAAAUUCGUAGAUAUUCGCAAGAACACCAGUGGCGAAGGCGGCUUACUGGUCCGGUUCUGACGCUGAGGCGCGAAAGCGUGGGGAGCAAACAGG